RNAcentral lists this ribosomal RNA (457 nucleotides) under uncultured bacterium. Its description in RNAcentral is "bacterial SSU rRNA". It matches the Rfam family "Bacterial small subunit ribosomal RNA", at positions 340 to 786 of the family's 1533-position model. The record is from RNAcentral.
UACGGAAGGCAGUAGUGGGGAAUAUUGCACAAUGGGCGAAAGCCUGAUGCAGCUAUGCCGCGUGUAUGAAGAAGGCCUUAGGGUUGUAAAGUACUUUCAUCGGGGAGGAAAAACAAAACUAAUAAUUUUAUUUCUUGACGUUACCCGAAAAAGAAGCACCGGCUAACUCCGUGCCAGCAGCCGCGGUAAUACGGAGGGUGCUAGCGUUAAUCAGAAUUACUGGGCGUAAAGAGCACGUAGGUGGUUUUUUUAAGUUCAGAUGUGAAAUCCCUGGGCUUAACCUAAGAACUGCAUUUUGAAACUGAAAUACUAGAGUAUCGUAGAGGGAGGUAGAAUUCUAGGUGUAGCGGUGAAAUGCGUAGAUAUCUGGAGGAAUACCUGUGGCGAAAGCGGCCUCCUAAACGAAUACUGACACUGAGGGUGCGAAAGCGUGGGGAGCAAACAGGGAUUAGAUACC